UACAUUUUUUUAAUGUUUACAAAGAGUUUCAUACCUUUAUUCCCAAUUCAAAAAUAUUUUACACAAGUUCGAUUUACAUUCAUUUGUUGAUUCUAUAAGUAAAUGAUUAUUUUACGACAUUUGCCAUAAGCGCAUGGCGAGUAAACAAAAACGUGUUGUGAUGUUGAUGACUUUCCUGACUCGCCUGUAAGGGUGACUUUGUUCAUUUGAAGCUUCGUUUUUCAUUAAAAAAUGAAGUUCAGCAAGUACAAACAUCGUCAUAAACUACGGCCAAAUGUAGGACCCCCUGUCUCUCAUUAUCGAUACGAUUGUAGAGCGGAUUCUGGGCCAUGGCCCGAGUCAAUAAGUUCAAGUUGAUGUUUCUGAUGGAGAUGAUUUGUAAGGAAAGAUCUUUUUCUGAAUAAUGUCUGUUACGUUGCCUUUUCGUCCUAAAGAUGAACUAAACGUGCAUGAUGCUAAAUCAACAUAAAAGUGUUUGUAAAUGAAGGAGAAAACAAGAGCCCGGAAUGCCAGGACCUAACAGCUGCCAAAGCUUGAAAUUUCUGAUGUGAUAUCAACACUAUUCAGUAUUUCAUUUGGAACAGAAAAAAUCUACAGACUGAGACACUUGUACUGAGGAAAUACCUGCUGUUGAAGAAAAACCCAAGACUUGUUUAGGUAGAAACAACAAUAUGCAGAUAGUUCAAAUUGCUGCAUCUAUUGGAGCACCCAUCGCUGUCAGGAAUUUUUCUUGAAUUUCCAGCAUUUCCAAAAAUGCACCUUGCAGGCAUGGAUUGGUUGUUGUAGCUUAACACAUGUUACAAGAUUAUUUAACCCUGAUGAGAAGUCACAAGAUGCAGUGAAUGACACUUGGGAGCAAUGAGGAGUGAGGGUUCUUUAGUGUGCCAAUAUCUGCUGUUCCAACCUUUACUCUCUCAACCAAAAGACCUCCAACUUAACAGAACCAGAAUAUAUGAUUAGCCACUGGGAAAAUUUUUACAAACUUUUCAUAUGUAACAAUAUUGCAAGUUUUUAGUGUUGUUCUACAUGUAAACAGCAUAUAAAUCAUUUUUUAGAUAUACGUACAGAUGUGAUGAAAUAAUUAGGAACUCUAGUUAGUGUACGGUUAGUUUUAUCCCACUUGUACAGUGUAUAUAUGUUAUAUCUCAUAAAAAAAACUAGUUAAAAAAAUCAAAGUCUGUUUAUAAGGUAACAGCUAAUACAUGUAGCUAUUUAAAAUGAC
Long non-coding RNA from Saccostrea cuccullata (small rock oyster), 1222 nucleotides. RefSeq lists it as uncharacterized. The transcript has 4 exons. NCBI's taxonomy places the organism in Eukaryota, Metazoa, Mollusca, Bivalvia, Ostreida, Ostreidae. The record is from RefSeq and is a predicted model, not a curated record.